RNAcentral lists this ribosomal RNA (1530 nucleotides) under Escherichia coli 2-460-02_S1_C1. RNAcentral describes it as "bacterial SSU rRNA". It matches the Rfam family "Bacterial small subunit ribosomal RNA". Lineage: Bacteria; Pseudomonadati; Pseudomonadota; Gammaproteobacteria; Enterobacterales; Enterobacteriaceae. The record is from RNAcentral.
AGAGUUUGAUCAUGGCUCAGAUUGAACGCUGGCGGCAGGCCUAACACAUGCAAGUCGAACGGUAACAGAAAGCAGCUUGCUGCUUUGCUGACGAGUGGCGGACGGGUGAGUAAUGUCUGGGAAACAGCCUGAUGGAGGGGGAUAACUACUGGAAACGGUAGCUAAUACCGCAUAACGUCGCAAGACCAAAGAGGGGGACCUUCGGGCCUCUUGCCAUCGGAUGUGCCCAGAUGGGAUUAGCUUGUUGGUGGGGUAACGGCUCACCAAGGCGACGAUCCCUAGCUGGUCUGAGAGGAUGACCAGCCACACUGGAACUGAGACACGGUCCAGACUCCUACGGGAGGCAGCAGUGGGGAAUAUUGCACAAUGGGCGCAAGCCUGAUGCAGCCAUGCCGCGUGUAUGAAGAAGGCCUUCGGGUUGUAAAGUACUUUCAGCGGGGAGGAAGGGAGUAAAGUUAAUACCUUUGCUCAUUGACGUUACCCGCAGAAGAAGCACCGGCUAACUCCGUGCCAGCAGCCGCGGUAAUACGGAGGGUGCAAGCGUUAAUCGGAAUUACUGGGCGUAAAGCGCACGCAGGCGGUUUGUUAAGUCAGAUGUGAAAUCCCCGGGCUCAACCUGGGAACUGCAUCUGAUACUGGCAAGCUUGAGUCUCGUAGAGGGGGGUAGAAUUCCAGGUGUAGCGGUGAAAUGCGUAGAGAUCUGGAGGAAUACCGGUGGCGAAGGCGGCCCCCUGGACGAAGACUGACGCUCAGGUGCGAAAGCGUGGGGAGCAAACAGGAUUAGAUACCCUGGUAGUCCACGCCGUAAACGAUGUCGACUUGGAGGUUGUGCCCUUGAGGCGUGGCUUCCGGAGCUAACGCGUUAAGUCGACCGCCUGGGGAGUACGGCCGCAAGGUUAAAACUCAAAUGAAUUGACGGGGGCCCGCACAAGCGGUGGAGCAUGUGGUUUAAUUCGAUGCAACGCGAAGAACCUUACCUGGUCUUGACAUCCACGGAAGUUUUCAGAGAUGAGAAUGUGCCUUCGGGAACCGUGAGACAGGUGCUGCAUGGCUGUCGUCAGCUCGUGUUGUGAAAUGUUGGGUUAAGUCCCGCAACGAGCGCAACCCUUAUCCUUUGUUGCCAGCGGUCCGGCCGGGAACUCAAAGGAGACUGCCAGUGAUAAACUGGAGGAAGGUGGGGAUGACGUCAAGUCAUCAUGGCCCUUACGACCAGGGCUACACACGUGCUACAAUGGCGCAUACAAAGAGAAGCGACCUCGCGAGAGCAAGCGGACCUCAUAAAGUGCGUCGUAGUCCGGAUUGGAGUCUGCAACUCGACUCCAUGAAGUCGGAAUCGCUAGUAAUCGUGGAUCAGAAUGCCACGGUGAAUACGUUCCCGGGCCUUGUACACACCGCCCGUCACACCAUGGGAGUGGGUUGCAAAAGAAGUAGGUAGCUUAACCUUCGGGAGGGCGCUUACCACUUUGUGAUUCAUGACUGGGGUGAAGUCGUAACAAGGUAACCGUAGGGGAACCUGCGGUUGGAUCACCU